Non-coding RNA from Aspergillus puulaauensis, 72 nucleotides. Lineage: Eukaryota; Fungi; Ascomycota; Eurotiomycetes; Eurotiales; Aspergillaceae. The record is from the annotation of a RefSeq genome assembly.
AGCAUGUUGACGCAGCGGAAGCGUGCCAGGCUCAUAACCUGGAAGUCCCUCGAUCGAAACGAGGACAUGCUA